RNAcentral lists this ribosomal RNA (467 nucleotides) under uncultured bacterium. RNAcentral describes it as "partial 16S ribosomal RNA". It matches the Rfam family "Bacterial small subunit ribosomal RNA", at positions 28 to 507 of the family's 1533-position model. The record is from RNAcentral.
GACGAACGCUGGCGGCGUGCUUAACACAUGCAAGUCGAACGGAAAGGCCUCUUUCGGGGGGUACUCGAGUGGCGAACGGGUGUGUAACACGUGAGUAACCUGCCCUUGACUUUGGGAUAACUUCAGGAAACUGGGGCUAAUACCGGAUAGGAGCUCCUGUUGCAUGGUGGGGGUUGGAAAGUUUCGGCGGUUGGGGAUGGACUCGCGGCUUAUCAGCUUGUUGGUGGGGUAGUGGCUUACCAAGGCUUUGACGGGUAGCCGGCCUGAGAGGGUGACCGGCCACAUUGGGACUGAGAUACGGCCCAGACUCCUACGGGAGGCAGCAGUGGGGAAUAUUGCACAAUGGGUGGAAGCCUGAUGCAGCAACGCCGUGUGCGGGAUGACGGCCUUCGGGUUGUAAACCGCUUUCGCUCAUGACGAAGCUUUGUGUGACGGUAGUGGGUAAAGAAGCACCGGCUAACUACGUG